Molecule: ribosomal RNA, 426 nt
Filed under: uncultured bacterium
Lineage: Bacteria
Description: bacterial SSU rRNA
Rfam family: Bacterial small subunit ribosomal RNA
Source: RNAcentral
UAGGGAAUUUUCGUCAAUGGGGGGAACCCUGAACGAGCAAUGCCGCGUGAGUGAAGAAGGUCUUCGGAUCGUAAAGCUCUGUUGUAAGUGAAGAACGGUCAGUAGAGGAAAUGAUACUGAAGUGACGGUAGCUUACCAGAAAGCCACGGCUAACUACGUGCCAGCAGCCGCGGUAAUACGUAGGUGGCGAGCGUUAUCCGGAAUCAUUGGGCGUAAAGGGUGCGCAGGUGGUACAUUAAGUCCGAAGUAAAAGGCAGCAGCUCAACUGCUGUUGGCUUUGGAAACUGGUGAACUGGAGUGCAGGAGAGGGCGAUGGAAUUCCAUGUGUAGCGGUAAAAUGCGUAGAUAUAUGGAGGAACACCAGUGGCGAAGGCGGUCGCCUGGCCUGCAACUGACACUGAGGCACGAAAGCGUGGGGAGCAAAUA